Molecule: ribosomal RNA, 1326 nt
Filed under: metagenome
Description: bacterial LSU rRNA
Rfam family: Bacterial large subunit ribosomal RNA
Source: RNAcentral
AGUGGAUGGGGAGCAACCUAUGUUGUGCGUGUGUAAAGGUAGUGCCAAGAAAAGCGAUGAUCAUGUUGAAAAUCAAUUCCCGGUACCCGAAACCGACACAGGUGGGCAAGUAGAGAAUACUAAGGGGCGCGAGGUAACUCUCUCCAAGGAACUCGGCAAAAUUACCCCGUAACUUAGGGAGAAGGGGUGCCACCGAGAGGUGGUCGCAGUGAAGAGGCCCAGGCGACUGUUUAGCAAAAACAUAGGUCUCUGCAAACUCGAAAGAGGAGGUAUAGGGGCUGACGCCUGCCCAGUGCCGGAAGGUUAAAGAAGUUGUCAGUUUUAGGAUGAAGCUAGCGACUGAAGCCCCGGUGAACGGCGGCCGUAACUAUAACGGUCCUAAGGUAGCGAAAUUCCUUGUCGGGUAAGUUCCGACCCGCACGAAAGGCGUAACGAUCUGGGCGCUGUCUCGGAGAGAGGCUCGGCGAAAUAGGAUUGUCUGUGAAGAUACGGACUACCUGCAUUUGGACAGAAAGACCCUAUGAAGCUUUACUAUAGCUUGGAAUUGUGUUCGGGCUUCCUGUGCGCAGGAUAGGUGGGAGGCGUAGAAGGUAUUCUUGUGGGGAUACUGGAGCCAACGGUGAGAUACCACUCUCAGGAGGCUAGAAUUCUAACUUAAUUAAGGACAGUUUCAGGUGGGUAGUUUGACUGGGGCGGUCGCCUCCAAAAAGGUAACGGAGGCGUACAAAGGUUCCCUCAGACUGGUUGGAAAUCAGUCGAAGAGUGCAAAGGCAGAAGGGAGCUUGACUGCGAGAAGUACAGUUCGAGCAGGGUGGAAACACGGUCUUAGUGAUCCGACGGUGCUGUGUGGAAGGGCCGUCGCUCAACGGAUAAAAGUUACUCUAGGAUAACAGGCUGAUCUCCCCCAAGAGUUCACAUCGACGGGGAGGUUUGGCACCUCGAUGUCGGCUCAUCGCAACCUGGGGCGGAAGUACGUCCCAAGGGUUGGGCUGUUCGCCCAUUAAAGCGGUACGUGAGCUGGGUUCAGAACGUCGUGAGACAGUUCGGUCCAUAUCCGAUGUAGGCGUGAGAAUAUUGAGAGGAGCCUUCCUUAGUACGAGAGGACCGGGAAGGACGCACCGCUGGUGUACCUGUUAUGAUGCCAAUUGUAAACGCAGGGUAGCCAAGUGCGGAGAGGAUAACCGCUGAAAGCAUCUAAGUGGGAAGCCCACCUCAAGAUGAGUAUUCUGGUGUAAGGUCACGGGAAGACGACCCGUAAAUAGGCACGAGGUGGAAGUGCAGAGAUGUAUGAAGCCGAAGUGUACUAAUAGACCGUCGGCUUGACCA